GGGCCCGUAGCUUAGCUGGUAGAGCGCUGGUCUUAUACACCAGUGGUCGGGAGUUCGAGUCUCCUCGGGCCCA
RNAcentral lists this transfer RNA (73 nucleotides) under Candidatus Woesearchaeota archaeon. RNAcentral describes it as "tRNA-Ile". It matches the Rfam family "tRNA". Rfam says of the family: Transfer RNA (tRNA) molecules are approximately 80 nucleotides in length. Lineage: Archaea; Nanobdellati; Candidatus Woesearchaeota. The record is from RNAcentral.